This 253-nucleotide ribosomal RNA is filed under the name uncultured bacterium. RNAcentral describes it as "partial 16S ribosomal RNA". It matches the Rfam family "Bacterial small subunit ribosomal RNA", at positions 524 to 776 of the family's 1533-position model. The record is from RNAcentral.
UACAGAGGUCUCAAGCGUUGUUCGGAUUCAUUGGGCGUAAAGGGCGCGUAGGCGGCGGGGUAAGUCGGGUGUGAAAUCUCAGAGCUCAACUCUGAAACUGCACUCGAUACUGCUCUGCUUGAGGACUGGAGAGGAGACUGGAAUUCACGGUGUAGCAGUGAAAUGCGUAGAUAUCGUGAGGAAGACCAGUGGCGAAGGCGGGUCUCUGGACAGUUCCUGACGCUGAGGCGCGAAAGCUAGGGGAGCAAACGGG